GGGGUGGCAGGUAGUGGUUAGAGUGUUGGGCCAGUAACCAGCAGGUAGCCUAGUGGUUAGAGGGUUGGGGCGGCAGGUAGCCUAGUGGUUAGAGUGUUGGGCCAGUAACCAGCAGGUAGCCUAGUGGUUAGAGUGUAGGGGAGGGAGGUAGCCUAGUGGUUAGAGUGUAGGGGCGGCAGGUAGCCUAGUGGUUAGAGUGUUGGGCCAGUAACCAGCAGGUAGCCUAGUGGUUAGAGUGUAGGGGAGGUAGGUAGACUAGUGGUUAGAGGGUUGGGCCAGUAACCAGUGGUAGCCUAGUGGUUAGAGUGUUGGGCCAGUAACCAGCAGGUGGCCUAGUGGUUAGAGUGUUGGGCCAGUAACCAGCAGGUAGCCUAGUGGUUAGAGUGUAGGGGUGGCAGGUAGCCUAGUGGUUAGAGUGUAGGGGGUUAGGUAGUCUAGUGGUUAGAGUGUAGGGGCGGCAGGUAGCCUAGUGGUUAGAGUGUAGGGGGGUUAGGUAGCCUAGUGGUUAGAGUGUAGGGGUGGCAGGUAGCCUAGUGGUUAGAGUGUAGGGGUGGCAGGUAGCCUAGUGGUUAGAGUGUAGGGGUGGCAGGUAGCCUAGUGGUUAGAGUGUAGGGGU
Molecule: long non-coding RNA, 616 nt
Organism: Oncorhynchus tshawytscha (Chinook salmon)
Lineage: Eukaryota; Metazoa; Chordata; Actinopteri; Salmoniformes; Salmonidae
Source: Ensembl